CUGCUGUUAUGAAUUGCUUAGCCAUGUUUGAGUAGUUUCAUUGUUAGAUUUUAGGGUUUAAAUAGGUUAGGAGGGAUUAGCCCCAACUAUAGAAUGCUGAGUUGUGAUAAUCAUCUUUAGGAUUGUUCAUUAAUGCAUGUGUCUAGAUUAGCAACCUAGAACCUGCCCUUGGAUUUGAUUGAUAAAAGCGAGAGCUUUUUUCUCAUUCUGAAAACAUUCUAAUAGAACUAUGUUUCUUGCUAUGAGCAAGGCGAGAGCUGAUCUAGUGAGCUUAGUAAGCUGUUAUUCAACCCGCACAUAAAGCUUGACUAGAGCGCGUCGA
RNAcentral lists this long non-coding RNA (322 nucleotides) under Brassica napus (rape). RNAcentral describes it as "long non-coding RNA (BNAP_LNC004311)". Lineage: Eukaryota; Viridiplantae; Streptophyta; Magnoliopsida; Brassicales; Brassicaceae. The record is from RNAcentral.